Molecule: ribosomal RNA, 205 nt
Filed under: Paenisporosarcina quisquiliarum
Lineage: Bacteria; Bacillati; Bacillota; Bacilli; Caryophanales; Caryophanaceae
Description: partial 16S rRNA. Bacterial SSU
Rfam family: Bacterial small subunit ribosomal RNA
Source: RNAcentral
CUAUUAUGGAGAGUUUGAUCCUGGCUCAGGACGAACGCUGGCGGCAUGCCUAAUACAUGCAAGUCGAGCGAAUGACGAAGAAGCUUGCUUCUUCUGAUUUAGCGGCGGACGGGUGAGUAACACGUGGGCAACCUGCCCUGUAGAUUGGGAUAACUCCGGGAAACCGGGGCUAAUACCGAAUAAUCCAUUUCCUCACAUGGGGAGA